GAUGAACGCUGGCGGCGUGCCUAAUACAUGCAAGUCGAGCGAACGGACGAGAAGCUUGCUUCUCUGAUGUUAGCGGCGGACGGGUGAGUAACACGUGGAUAACCUACCUAUAAGACUGGGAUAACUUCGGGAAACCGGAGCUAAUACCGGAUAAUAUUUUGAACCGCAUGGUUCAAAAGUGAAAGACGGUCUUGCUGUCACUUAUAGAUGGAUCCGCGCUGCAUUAGCUAGUUGGUAAGGUAACGGCUUACCAAGGCAACGAUGCAUAGCCGACCUGAGAGGGUGAUCGGCCACACUGGAACCGGAACACGGUCCAGACUCCUACGGGAGGCAGCAGUAGGGAAUCUUCCGCAAUGGGCGAAAGCCUGACGGAGCAACGCCGCGUGGAUUGUGAAGGUCUUCGGAUCGUAAAACCCUGUUAUUAGGGAAGAACAUAUGUGUAAGUAACUGUGCACAUCUUGACGGUACCUAAUCAGAAAGCCACGGCUAACUACGUG
Molecule: ribosomal RNA, 497 nt
Filed under: uncultured bacterium
Lineage: Bacteria
Description: partial 16S ribosomal RNA
Rfam family: Bacterial small subunit ribosomal RNA
Source: RNAcentral